UGAAGAUAUUCACUACAGACUUAUGAUAGUAAUAACUAUCUACAGACAAUGUUUAAAUACUUUAUUUCAAUUAAUGCAGGUUAAUCCUCACAACAAUCUAUGGUGCUAGUGAACAUUACUAUCCUCAUUGUACAGAUGAGAAAACUGAAACAUUGAGAAGUCAAGUAACUUGCUCAAGAUUAUAUAGCUAGUGCAUAGAGGGGCAAAGAUUUGAACCAGAUUGCCUGGUUCCACAUGCACUUUAACCUGCUUUAUUUAGGCUUUUGAAAGCAACCUAAAUAGCUAACAUUGACUAAAUAAGUGCAGUAUACCUGGUCUGUGUGACAUUUUGCAGGUAUUAAAAAGUGAACAUUCUGAACCCUUUUAGCAAUAUGGCAAAUACUUCUGAUGUGAUGUAUGCAUAUAAAUAUGAUCGAAAGCAAAUAUCCCAAAAGGUUGAUGGCAGUUAUGUCAGGUUAGUAGCACAAUAGUUUCUUUUCUCAUUUUCUCACAUUUUUAGUAAUGUGUGUUGCCUAUAUUAAAAAACAAAUAUUAAAAAGUAGUAGCAUGUAUUAGAUCAGAGCAUGGGCUCAGACUGCCUGUGUCAUCUCUUAUUAGAUGUAUGACCAGGGACAAGUUAUUGACCUUUUGUUUCUAAGUCUCUAAGUUUAUCCUGUAAAAUGAAGAUAAUUGUAGUAACUACCUAAUAACAUGAUUGUAAGGAUUAAAUUAUUUAGAACACUAUUUGUUACUUGGAAAAUAUGCAAUCAUAAGCUAUUUUGUUGUUAUUGUUAUUUUACUACCAAAGCUUAUUGUUUCAGAGCCCCUAGGUGACCAGGCAAAAUGGCAGUUCCUUCCAGCUGGUCCUCAGAUGGGCACAUCUAUUAGCCUCUGCUCUUGUAAGAAGUUAGCUGCAGAACCCACAUGUGAAUCCUUGUAG
This 919-nucleotide long non-coding RNA is filed under the name Homo sapiens (human). RNAcentral describes it as "non-protein coding SATB1-AS1:8". The record is from RNAcentral. Lineage: Eukaryota; Metazoa; Chordata; Mammalia; Primates; Hominidae.